This 253-nucleotide ribosomal RNA is filed under the name uncultured bacterium. RNAcentral describes it as "partial 16S ribosomal RNA". It matches the Rfam family "Bacterial small subunit ribosomal RNA", at positions 524 to 776 of the family's 1533-position model. The record is from RNAcentral.
UACGGGGGGGGCAAGCGUUGUUCGGAAUUACUGGGCGUAAAGCGUGCGUAGACGGUUAUUUAAGUCGGAUGUGAAAGCCCCGGGCUCAACCUGGGAAUUGCAUUCGAGACUGAAUAGCUAGGGUGCGGUAGAGGGAAGCGGAAUUUCCGGUGUAGCGGUGAAAUGCGUAGAUAUCAAGAGGAACACCUGAGGUGAAGACGGGUUGCUGGGCUGAUACUGACGCUGAAGCGCGAAAGCUAGGGUAGCAAACGGG